UGAGGAAUUUUGGACAAUGGGGGAAACCCUGAUCCAGCGAUGUCGCGUGAAUGAUGACGGCCUAUAGGUUGUAAAGUUCUUUCGUCGGUGAAGAUAAUGACGGUAACCGAAAAAGAAGCUCCGGCUAACUUCGUGCCAGCAGCCGCGGUAAGACGAAGGGAGCAAGCGUUGCUCGGAAUAAUUGGGCGUAAAGGGUGCGUAGGUGGUUUUUUAAGUGAAGUGUUAAAGACUCGGGCUCAACCUGAGGGGUGCAUUUCAUACUGAAAGACUUGAGUGUAGGAGAGGGAACAGGAAUUCCUCAUGUAGAGGUGAAAUUCGUAGAUAUGAGGAAGAACACCAGAGGCGAAGGCGAGUUCCUGGAAUACAUACUGACACUGAGGCACGAAAGCGUGGGGAGCAA
This 400-nucleotide ribosomal RNA is filed under the name uncultured bacterium. RNAcentral's name for it is "bacterial SSU rRNA". It matches the Rfam family "Bacterial small subunit ribosomal RNA", at positions 355 to 771 of the family's 1533-position model. The record is from RNAcentral.